RNAcentral lists this ribosomal RNA (430 nucleotides) under Pseudomonadota bacterium. Its description in RNAcentral is "Proteobacteria bacterium partial 16S ribosomal RNA". It matches the Rfam family "Bacterial small subunit ribosomal RNA", at positions 355 to 776 of the family's 1533-position model. The record is from RNAcentral. Lineage: Bacteria; Pseudomonadati; Pseudomonadota.
UGGGGAUUAUUGGACAAUGGGGGGAACCCUGAUCCAGCCAUGCCGCGUGUGUGAAGAAGGCCUUAUGGUUGUAAAGCACUUUAAGCGAGGAGGAGGGUACUGGUAUUAAUACUACCAGGUACUGGACGUUACUCGCAGAAUAAGCACCGGCUAACUCUGUGCCAGCAGCCGCGGUAAUACAGAGGGUGCAAGCGUUAAUCGGAAUUACUGGGCGUAAAGCGCGCGUAGGUGGUUCGUUAAGUUGAAUGUGAAAGCCCCGGGCUCAACCUGGGAACUGCAUCCAAAACUGGCGAGCUAGAGUAGGGCAGAGGGUGGUGGAAAUUCCUGUGUAGCGGUGAAAUGCGUAGAUAUAGGAAGGGACACCAGUGGCGAAGGCGACCACCUGGGCUCAUCCUGACACUGAGGUGCGAAAGCGUGGGGAGCAAACAGG